UACGUAGGGACCAAGCGUUGUUCGGAUUUACUGGGCGUAAAGGGCGCGUAGGCGGCGUGGUAAGUCACUUGUGAAAUCUCUGAGCUUAACUCAGAACGGCCAAGUGAUACUGCUGUGCUAGAGUGCAGAAGGGGCAAUCGGAAUUCUUGGUGUAGCGGUGAAAUGCGUAGAUAUCAAGAGGAACACCUGAGGUGAAGACGGGUUGCUGGGCUGACACGUGACGCUGAUGCGCGAAAGCUAGGGGAGCAAACGGG
Molecule: ribosomal RNA, 254 nt
Filed under: uncultured bacterium
Lineage: Bacteria
Description: partial 16S ribosomal RNA
Rfam family: Bacterial small subunit ribosomal RNA
Source: RNAcentral